RNAcentral lists this ribosomal RNA (205 nucleotides) under uncultured bacterium. RNAcentral describes it as "partial 16S ribosomal RNA". It matches the Rfam family "Bacterial small subunit ribosomal RNA", at positions 568 to 774 of the family's 1533-position model. The record is from RNAcentral.
CACGUAGGCGGAUUGUUAAGUCGGGGUGAAAUCCUGAGGCUCAACCUCAGAACUGCCUUCGAUACUGGCGAUCUUGAGUUCGGAAGAGGUUGGUGGAACAGCUAGUGUAGAGGUGAAAUUCGUAGAUAUUAGCUAGAACACCAGUGGCGAAGGCGGCCAACUGGUCCGAUACUGACGCUGAGGUGCGAAAGCGUGGGAGCAAACA